This 706-nucleotide long non-coding RNA is filed under the name Rattus norvegicus (Norway rat). RNAcentral's name for it is "long non-coding RNA NONRATT031648". Lineage: Eukaryota; Metazoa; Chordata; Mammalia; Rodentia; Muridae. The record is from RNAcentral.
GCGGCAGCAGCUGGGGCGGCAGCAUGUAGGCUGGCAGCACACAGACUGACAACACUGGGGCCUGCAGCAGCUGGAGAUGCAGCAGCUGGGCCUGCAGCAGCUGGACACACAGCAGCUGGGGCGGCAGCAGCUGGGCCUGCAGCAGCUGGACACACAGCAGCUGGGCCUGCAGCAGCUGGACACACAGCAGCUGGGCCUGCAGCAGCUGGACACACAACAGCUGGGGCGGCAGCAGCUGGACACACAGCAGCUGGGCCUGCAGCAGCUGGACACACAACAGCUGGGCCUGCAGCAGCUGGGGCGACAGCAGCUGGAGAUGCAGCAGCUGGGGCGGCAGCAGGUGGGCUGGCAGCAUACAGACUGGCAGCAUUGGGGUCUGCAGCAGCUGGACACACAACAACUGGGGUGGCAACAAGUGGGCUUGCAACAGGUGGUCUGGCAACAGGUGGUCUGGCAGCAGCUAGGCUGGCAACAGCCUGGGCCACAGCCCUCCUCAGAGCAGACAGAGCCACAACAGGAGCUGACCAUGGUGUCAGAGGUGGAGGUUCUGAAUGGGUUUACAAGAAGGUGGGUUGAAAGGUUUGGAAGUGGGAGUCCCUCUGCCCACAUCCCCUUUUAUACCCUGCCAUGGGGCUAGUGUCCUCAUAUGCAACAUUCUUUCCUUGUUAUUGUUUGUGUUGAUAAAUAAUAUGUGAUUAAAAAAUUA